CCUCCUCUAGGCUCCUGGUUUUCGAGUCCCAUAACCGUGCCAGGCCAUAGAAUGGGGUCCUGGUCUUUUCUUACUCUGUGCCAGGCCAUAGAAUGGGGUCCUGGUCUUCCUGUCAGGGACUAAUUGGGUCAUCCAAUAUUCACCCACAUCAACAACAAUUGAUGCAAUGUGGCAUAUUCGUGAAAACUAAUGCAAUCGUCCUAUUGCAUAAUCAUGAUGCAUGAAACAUGAUAAAAACAUUCAAUUUCUC
This 250-nucleotide long non-coding RNA is filed under the name Manihot esculenta (cassava). RNAcentral's name for it is "long non-coding RNA (MESC_LNC009501)". The record is from RNAcentral. Lineage: Eukaryota; Viridiplantae; Streptophyta; Magnoliopsida; Malpighiales; Euphorbiaceae.